Molecule: ribosomal RNA, 465 nt
Filed under: uncultured bacterium
Lineage: Bacteria
Description: partial 16S ribosomal RNA
Rfam family: Bacterial small subunit ribosomal RNA
Source: RNAcentral
GAUGAACGCUGGCGGCGUGCUUAACACAUGCAAGUCGAACGGAAAGGCUCCUGCUUGCAGGGGUACUCGAGUGGCGAACGGGUGAGUAACACGUGGGUGAUCUGCCCUGCACUUCGGGAUAAGCCUGGGAAACUGGGUCUAAUACCGGAUAGGACGAUGGUUUGGAUGCCAUUGUGGAAAGUUUUUCGGUGUGGGAUGAGCUCGCGGCCUAUCAGCUUGUUGGUGGGGUAAUGGCCUACCAAGGCGUCGACGGGUAGCCGGCCUGAGGGGGUGUACGGCCACAUUGGGACUGAGAUACGGCCCAGACUCCUACGGGAGGCAGCAGUGGGGAAUAUUGCACAAUGGGCGCAAGCCUGAUGCAGCGACGCCGCGUGGGGGAUGACGGCCUUCGGGUUGUAAACUCCUUUCGCUAGGGACGAAGCGCAAGUGACGGUACCUGGAGAAGAAGCACCGGCUAACUACGUG